CUCUCAUCAGUAAUAAGAUAGCAAACUGACUUCGUGCAGUACUGGGUUUAUACUUGAUGGGCACUGUAUGAAACAGGCGGGUGGGAGAUCCUGGAGAGGCUCUUCACACAGCGCAGAUUUACAACAUUCCAGGUCUGUUUCUUUAAACACUGAAAGCGAAGAUGAGUUCGGUGAGCCCUGGGACAGCAGCACACAGGCCCUCACAGGAUGCUACAACUUGUCGUUGGACUUGACAACCUUCAACCCAGAGCUGAAUGACCUCUCCACGUUCAUUCUGGAGACUUCAAUCUUUGCAGGACAUUGUGUCGUGCCCUUUCUUCUCAUCCACUGUGGUCAUCCCUCUACUACAG
Molecule: long non-coding RNA, 350 nt
Organism: Peromyscus eremicus (cactus mouse)
Lineage: Eukaryota; Metazoa; Chordata; Mammalia; Rodentia; Cricetidae
Exons: 3
Source: RefSeq, a predicted model, not a curated record